RNAcentral lists this ribosomal RNA (759 nucleotides) under Parahaemophilus parainfluenzae. RNAcentral's name for it is "Haemophilus parainfluenzae bacterial SSU rRNA". It matches the Rfam family "Bacterial small subunit ribosomal RNA", at positions 28 to 776 of the family's 1533-position model. Lineage: Bacteria; Pseudomonadati; Pseudomonadota; Gammaproteobacteria; Pasteurellales; Pasteurellaceae. The record is from RNAcentral.
AUUGAACGCUGGCGGCAGGCUUAACACAUGCAAGUCGAACGGUAACAUAAAGAAGCUUGCUUCUUUGAUGACGAGUGGCGGACGGGUGAGUAAUGCUUGGGAAUCUGGCUUAUGGAGGGGGAUAACUACGGGAAACUGUAGCUAAUACCGCGUAAUAUCGAAAGAUUAAAGUGUGGGACCUUCGGGCCACAUGCCAUAGGGUGAGCCCAAGUGGGAUUAGGUAGUUGGUGAGGUAAAGGCUCACCAAGCCGACGAUCUCUAGCUGGUCUGAGAGGAUGACCAGCCACACUGGGACUGAGACACGGCCCAGACUCCUACGGGAGGCAGCAGUGGGGAAUAUUGCGCAAUGGGGGCAACCCUGACGCAGCCAUGCCGCGUGAAUGAAGAAGGCCUUCGGGUUGUAAAGUUCUUUCGGUAGCGAGGAAGGUGGUUAGUUUAAUAGGCUAGCCAAUUGACGUUAACUACAGAAGAAGCACCGGCUAACUCCGUGCCAGCAGCCGCGGUAAUACGGAGGGUGCGAGCGUUAAUCGGAAUAACUGGGCGUAAAGGGCACGCAGGCGGACUUUUAAGUGAGGUGUGAAAGCCCCGGGCUUAACCUGGGAAUUGCAUUUCAGACUGGGAGUCUAGAGUACUUUAGGGAGGGGUAGAAUUCCACGUGUAGCGGUGAAAUGCGUAGAGAUGUGGAGGAAUACCGAAGGCGAAGGCAGCCCCUUGGGAAUGUACUGACGCUGAUGUGCGAAAGCGUGGGGAGCAAACAGG